Molecule: ribosomal RNA, 403 nt
Filed under: uncultured bacterium
Lineage: Bacteria
Description: bacterial SSU rRNA
Rfam family: Bacterial small subunit ribosomal RNA
Source: RNAcentral
UAGGGAAUAUUGGUAAUCUGGGAAACCGGGAACCAGCAACGCCGCGUGCGCGAUGAAGGCCUUCGGGUUGUAAAGCGCUUUUUGAGGGGAUGAGGAAGGACAGUACCCUCAGAAUAAGCCUCGGCUAACUACGUGCCAGCAGCCGCGGUAAAACGUAGGAGGCGAGCGUUAUCCGGAUUUACUGGGCGUAAAGCGUGUGUAGGCGGUUUGAUAAGUUGGAUGUGAAAGCUCCUGGCUUAACUGGGAGAGGUCGUUCAAAACUAUCAGACUCGAGAGUGGUAGAGGGAGGUGGAAUUCCGCGUGUAGUGGUGAAAUGCGUAGAUAUGCGGAGGAACACCAGUGGCGAAAGCGGCCUCCUGGCCCAUUUCUGACGCUCAGACACGAAAGCUAAGGUAGCAAACGG